Molecule: ribosomal RNA, 517 nt
Filed under: uncultured fungus
Lineage: Eukaryota; Fungi
Description: SSU rRNA
Rfam family: Eukaryotic small subunit ribosomal RNA
Source: RNAcentral
AUUAGAUAAAAAACCAAUGCCCUUCGGGGCUCCUUGGUGAUUCAUAAUAACUAAACGAAUCGCAUGGCCUUGCGCCGGCGAUGGUUCAUUCAAAUUUCUGCCCUAUCAACUUUCGAUGGUAGGAUAGUGGCCUACCAUGGUUUCAACGGGUAACGGGGAAUUAGGGUUCUAUUCCGGAGAGGGAGCCUGAGAAACGGCUACCACAUCCAAGGAAGGCAGCAGGCGCGCAAAUUACCCAAUCCCGACACGGGGAGGUAGUGACAAUAAAUACUGAUACAGGGCUCUUAUGGGUCUUGUAAUUGGAAUGAGUACAAUUUAAAUCCCUUAACGAGGAACAAUUGGAGGGCAAGUCUGGUGCCAGCAGCCGCGGUAAUUCCAGCUCCAAUAGCGUAUAUUAAAGUUGUUGCAGUUAAAAAGCUCGUAGUUGAACCUUGGGCCUGGCUGGUCGGUCCGCCUCACCGCGUGUACUGAUCCGGCCGGGCCUUUCCUUCUGGCUAGCCGCAUGCCCUUCACUGGG